Molecule: ribosomal RNA, 257 nt
Filed under: uncultured bacterium
Lineage: Bacteria
Description: partial 16S ribosomal RNA
Rfam family: Bacterial small subunit ribosomal RNA
Source: RNAcentral
GAAGCGAGACGGAGACGUUAAGCGAACCCAAAAAAGUAAGUCUCAGUUCGGAUUGAAGGCUGAAAUUCGCCUUCAUGAAGCCGGAAUUGCUAGUAAUGGCAGGUCAGCAUACUGCCGUGAAUACGUUCCCGGGCCUUGUACACACCGCCCGUCACACCAUGAGAGUUGGUAGCGCCCGAAGCCAGUGACCCAACCGGAAACGGAGGGAGCUGUCGAAGGUGGGACCGAUAACUGGGGUGAAGUCGUAACAAGGUACC